UACGUAGGUGACAAGCGUUGUCCGGAUUUACUGGGCGUAAAGAGCGCGCAGGCGGUCGAGUAAGUCGAAUGUGAAAGCCCCCGGCUUAACUGGGGAGGGUCAUUCGAUACUGUUCGACUUGAAGGCAGGAGAGGGCAGCAGAAUUCCCGGUGUAGUGGUGAAAUGCGUAGAUAUCGAGAGGAACACCUGCGGCGAAGGCGUGUUGCUGGGCUGACACUGACGCUGAAGCGCGAAAGCUAGGGGAGCGAACGGG
This 253-nucleotide ribosomal RNA is filed under the name uncultured bacterium. RNAcentral's name for it is "partial 16S ribosomal RNA". It matches the Rfam family "Bacterial small subunit ribosomal RNA", at positions 524 to 776 of the family's 1533-position model. The record is from RNAcentral.